AGUCGAGGGGUAUAGUUCUUCGGAAUUAGAGACCGGCGCACGGGUGCGUAACGCGUAUGCAAUCUACCUUUUGCAGAGGGAUAGCCCAGAGAAAUUUGGAUUAAUACCUCAUAGUAUAGCAGUUUCGCAUGAAACCACUAUUAAAGUCACAACGGCAAAAGAUGAGCAUGCGUCCCAUUAGCUAGUUGGUAAGGUAACGGCUUACCAAGGCUACGAUGGGUAGGGGUCCUGAGAGGGAGAUCCCCCACACUGGUACUGAGACACGGACCAGACUCCUACGGGAGGCAGCAGUGAGGAAUAUUGGACAAUGGGCGCAAGCCUGAUCCAGCCAUGCCGCGUGCAGGAUGACGGUCCUAUGGAUUGUAAACUGCUUUUGUACAGGAAGAAACACUCCCUCGUGAGGGAGCUUGACGGUACUGUAAGAAUAAGGAUCGGCUAACUCCGUGCCAGCAGCCGCGGUAAUACGGAGGAUCCAAGCGUUAUCCGGAAUCAUUGGGUUUAAAGGGUCCGUAGGCGGUUUAGUAAGUCAGUGGUGAAAGCCCAUCGCUCAACGGUGGAACGGCCAUUGAUACUGCUAGACUUGAAUUAUUAGGAAGUAACUAGAAUAUGUAGUGUAGCGGUGAAAUGCUUAGAGAUUACAUGGAAAUACCAUUGCG
RNAcentral lists this ribosomal RNA (656 nucleotides) under Flavobacterium sp. S153.08.BNT.W.Gill.N. Its description in RNAcentral is "bacterial SSU rRNA". It matches the Rfam family "Bacterial small subunit ribosomal RNA", at positions 60 to 717 of the family's 1533-position model. Lineage: Bacteria; Pseudomonadati; Bacteroidota; Flavobacteriia; Flavobacteriales; Flavobacteriaceae. The record is from RNAcentral.